GAACUGUCUUUCUUUUGUGCAUUUCCUGUAUUUUCAAAAAGAAGAAGAAAAGCAGACACACAGUGCUCCCCUGAGCAUGCACACACACACACACACACACACACACACACACACACACACACACACACACAGCUGCAGGGGCUCCUUCAACCUAAAUGAGAGCAUUAAGGAGAGAUAAGGAGGGACUAAGGGAGGAAGAGGGAGAGAGAAAGAGGGAGAGAGGGAGGGAGAGAGACAGAGAAAACAGAGAGAGAAUAUGAUUUUAAUUUGUUAACAUUUCUGAAUCCAGAUAAAACAAACUUUGCCACCCAGCUGCUGGACAGAAGCCCCGAGCCACAGGGGAAAACAUCAGCCAAUGAGAACAGAAUUGCUGAACCCAAACUGAUAGCUUACACUGUGUGUCCACACACAGAUUACAAGAGAGGAAUUAAACACUUCAAAAGAGCUACUGCAAAGUAAACCUCUCCUCCCCACACUUUCCACCACACACACACACACACACACACACACACACAGACACACACAGACACACACACACAGACACACACACACACACACACACACACAGACACACACACACACACAGACACACACACACACACACAGACACACACACACACAGACACACACACACACACACACACUAUUCAGAGCUUUUGAGUGUCUGACUGAAAAAAACUGACAAAAGUUGAAGGUUUGGAAAGGGUCCGCGCUAGGCUGUGUGAUGUCAGCUUCCAGAGGCAGUCCUAAGAACAUCACCUCACGCUGAAUUCAAAGGCCACCUAGUCUGGAAAAGGUCUUGGAGUUAGGCAGACUUUGAAAACAUUUUUUUUUUUUUUAAAUGGCGAAAUGUGACUCUUAGAAAUUUCCCAUUUAACCUAAUCCUUUUUCUUUGCCUCUACCGAUUGUAGGCAGGCUCCACCCUCACCUCCCCUAGCACUAAGAGAAGGAGAUAGCAUGGGUUUGAUGAUAUCAGCAGCCCCGGGCCACAUGCUUUAUUUUACAGCAUUGAUUGGCAGCUUCCCAAGUCCAUGGGAUCUUUUGCUGACCUGCUUUUCAGAUCCGUAUCUCCCAGUCACACCAGAAAGAAUCCCUUCUGAGCCUGGGAAAUGUGAGCCUCGGAAACAAAAGGGCAUUUGCACUAAAGCAGAAUCUGGCAGAAAGCAUGGGUUUAAUAAAUUGCAUCAUGUGAAAGUUCCCUGUCAGAUGCACUGGCAGCAGAGAAACAGGCACACGCAUGCGGGAAGGGAGCUCGCUCCUCAUCCAAAGACUGAGUUCCUUUUGAAAAGGAAGACGCGAUAAACAGCAUCUCUCUCCAAAAUAUACAUUAUACAUGCAUAAUAGAGAGAGCAGCGUGUGGAACAUGUACAUCUAGCCUGUCUUUCCUGUGAGAGCAGAAAGAGAGAGAGCUAAGUACCCAUAGAGGGAUUUGGGCUGUGUGUUAUCAAAGGAUAUCAUAUAUCUAGAACUUGGGUCAUUUGGUUUAGUUUUUGUUUUAUUUUGGUUUUUCGCUUUGUUUUGUCUUUUUAAAAAAUCCUACUAGUACGUACACUUAAUAGUGGGAUUGUUUUUCUUCUCUCCUUUCCUUUUGCCCUGACUCUUUCCUUCUUUUCCUUCUGCUCUUCCUCCUUUUUCUUUCCUUCCCUCUUCCCCUAAAAAUAUGAAAAAAAGAUAAUCCCAAAGCUUUUAGUAUGUGACAGAGGCAUAGACAUGUGGUUCUCAACUGUGGGUCACGACCCCUUUGAGGAGACAAAGGACCCUUUUAUAGGGCUGCCUAAGACCGUUGGAAAAAAACAUAUUUACAUUACAAUUCAUAACAAUAACAAGACUAUAGUUAUGAGGUGGCAACUAACAUAAUUUGGGGGGGGGAGGGGUCACCACAACAUGAGAAACUAAAUUAAAGGAUCGCAGCAUGAAGAAGGUUGAGAACCAUUGCUCUUAGACUGAGCCUCAGAAGAUCAGAGACCUGGGUCAUAAGCAUAUAAAAGGAUGUGCUUGUAUAUUGUGGCAAUGAAGUGAGGGGGGCAGAGCCAGAACUUCUAUACAAUACUCCUUACCUUCUACAAGGAUAGAAGGCACAACGUAAGUGUUAACUACUAUGUCCAUUCCCUUCAGACCAUUUCUCCCUUUAAUCUUGACCAAAGCUGCAUUGCAAGCUUUCUGACCUGCCUUCCUGGGUUGAUCCUGAUAUCUGUGCCUGUCACCCUAGCAUUCUGCCCUCCUGCUCCUGUCUAUGACACUCAGCUAUCCCUCAAUGAAACAGUCUCCUCUAGAAGAAAGCAGUGGCAUUCUUUCUCUGGUCUUUUUGACUUUGCCACCUUCCUGGCUCAGGCACCACCCGGACCAUACUUACAGGGUCGCAUUCUGGUACCAGGGUGAGCUGCCCUUUGCCUCAGGCAGUGGAGCAGGAAGCUUGGAGCCCCCCAGAGUCUGGAUGUGUUUAGGAUCAGGCUCAAAUGCUUGGAACACUAAUUUGCAACAGGAAAUGCUGGUGGGCUGGUUGAGGGACAGGAAUUAGCAAAUCGUCUUGGCAGUCAACUGUAGGAGGAAGCCAUGUCUGGAGAUCCUUUAGGAAAUAGAUGCAUAAUAGUAAAAAUCCUUUUCAGGUGUGUUAAUUUCCUUUGUGGACAGAAAUACCCUGGACUUCGGGUUUGUGAUAUUCCAUAUUUAUUAUUAUUAUUAUUAUUAUUACUAUUAUUAUUAUUUUGGUCUCUCUUUUCCCUAAGGUUUGGCUUUACUUCUUGGGGAACACUUAAAGAUAUACAUAGUGAAUUUGAUUAUUGACAGUACUCUAAGCCCGGCUUAAUAAGCCAUGGAACAAAAUAGCUCAAGCUCCUAGAGUGACUGUAAGCCAGCCCUGGCAGCACUGAGAGCACCGCGGCUUUGGCUACACAUAUCUGUAGUACGAGCCUUUCCUCAGUAUUUCAAUUCUGCAGCAGAACCUCGGAAGCACCUUAGUUCUUCACACAGUAGGCAAAAGAUUUUGGAGAACCAAGUAGAAAUGUUUUACUAAAAAUGCAAGGAUAAGAGCCCCCUCCCCCUCAACCCCAUCCCCAGCCUCUCUGUUAAUACAUAAAGAAGUAGAAACCUAGAAAUCUGUUACAUGGACUUACACAACACACUUUGGGGGCAGAGCCAGAAGCUGUGUUUACAAUAAGAAAGUUGUUUUCCCUGAUCUAGGUUUACAUGGUUAUUCUAUGCUUUUCCUGGGUUCGAGGGUAGAAUAUUGGUUGGCUCAGAGAUUGUACUGUCUAGGCUGACCGUCAACUUGAUUCAAGCUAGAGUCGUCAGAGGAGGGAGCCUCUGUAAGAUUCCUGCCAGAGGGCAUUUUCUUAAUUAGUGACUGAAAGGGCACCAGUCCAUUGUGGGUGGUGCCAUUCCUCUGGACUGGUGAUUCUGAGUUCUAUAAGAAAGCAGGCUAUGCAAGCAGGCUGAGCAAGCCUGUAAGCAGCACCCCUCCAUGGUCUCUGCAUCAGCGUGUGCUCCAGGUUCCUGCCCUGCUUGCGUUCCUGUACUAACGUCCUUAGAUAAUGGUGAGGAAACAUAAGCUCAAUAAGUCCUUCCCUCCCCAACUUCCAGUUUUUGGUUCUGCUGUUUCAUCACAGCAAUAGAAACCCUAACAGAAAUUAUGGAGACACUGGAAAGCAGUAUACAGACUAUGUUAUUGCCUACUUAUACUAUACAAAUGAGAAAGCCAAUACUUUCUCAAAUAACUUGCCGAAGGUCACUGCUUAUUAUGAACAGUAAAGUCAAGACUGCAAGCCCAAGUCUUUGGUCUUGAAUUUCUGGGCUCUAAGUUUCUUCAUUAAUGAACUACGUCCAAUGGGCCUCUGUACCCAGAAUUUCUAGCUUUACAACAACAUUUCCUGAAUAGGUAGUAUUAGAAAGCACAUUGACUGGAGUAGAGCUUUAGAAAUGAAGGUAAAACCCUUGGUUCAAUGCUAAUACUAAGACCGCCCAUGUAAAAAGCAGGAAACCGGGCAGCUAAUGUUUUUCAAUGGAUUGGAAAGGCCACACAUAUUGGGAUGAAUAGUUUGGUGACAAGAAAUAACAGAAAGAGAGAGUUGGAAGAAUGCCCCCGGGAUGUAGGCACACAGUGGAUUAUAAGGGAGAAAUGAAGGUUACCUUCAAAGAGGUUUUUGGCUUUUUUUUCAAAGCCUGAGUUGACAGAUAGUAAAUAUCAAAGAUGGAUUGGUUGGAAAAAAAUUAAGCAGACAAUGCUCUGGAGGUGAUUUUAGGAUCAACCUCACUAUUGGUCAUUGUCAAAGAGAAAAGAGUGUGUGUGAUGGAGAGAUGGAGUCCUUCACCUAAGGCACAGAACCGGGCUAAAUCGAUACAUACUUUUGAGAAUGCCCUUCCUGAUUGAGCUUUAGAAAUUAGGUGCAAGGCUAAUGAUGGGACCAAAGAAAGCAUCUACUUGCCUUAGAAAAGGAAUAUCUAGAAAAUAGGCCAAAGGGAAGAACAUAAAAUUUGAAGCACCUUACUGUAUGACGCAACGGCAGAUAAACUAAGUCACAGUUCCAAUGUGCAUAAGGGAGGUUUGCUGUAGCCAUAAGGGACACUCUGAAGAAAGUGCUUCUUGCCAGCCUGGGCUGCCCAAGGCAAAGAAGAGGCCUCCAGACAGUUCCAGAGAUCAGAUAUACAUGCGAUGCAUGAGAAACAACCCUGAAGUUCAACAUGCUAGUCUAGACGUUCCAGGACAGGGUGGAGCCUGGAUUAGAAACUCCCUGUCCUCUAGAAGGACUAGAAGAGUUGGAAGAAUAUGCUUUCUAUUGCACUCUGCACUGGGCACCAGGAGAUACGAUCAGCUGUUAGAGAUCUGCAAGUUAAUUUGUAUUACCGGUACAUGCCCAUGCUGGAAUUCGAGUUUCUUAAGAGGAUUACUUAGUCUUGGCAGUAUUUAAAUUUAUGCUAGAGAGCUAUAGUGGGGACAUGCAAAAGUAUGUUUAGUGUAAAAAGCCAGACAGUUGAUUGUGUAGUGCGCUGGUAAGCCAAUUUUUCUCAUCACUCCCUCUCCGCGUUCCCAGACAAAACUAGGC
This 5039-nucleotide long non-coding RNA is filed under the name Mus musculus (house mouse). RNAcentral describes it as "long non-coding RNA chr13:109822745-109827784". Lineage: Eukaryota; Metazoa; Chordata; Mammalia; Rodentia; Muridae. The record is from RNAcentral.